GUGCAGCAGUCGCGAAACCUCCGCAAUGCUCGAAAGAGCGACGGGGGGACUCCAAGUGCCUACGCUCAGCGUAGGCUGUUCCCGAGCCUAAAAAGCUCGGGGAGUAAGGGCUGGGUAAGACGGGUGCCAGCCGCCGCGGUAAUACCCGCAGCCCGAGUGGUGGCCGCUAUUAUUGGGCCUAAAGCGUCCGUAGCCGGCUCGGUAAAUGCCUGGGUAAAUCGUCUGGCCCAACCAGACGAAUUCCGGGUAGACUGCCGGGCUAGGGGACCGGAGGAGGGAGAGGGUACUCCAGGGGUAGGGGUGAAAUCAGCAAGGUGAGUUGCUGAUGUAACUUGCCUUGCAAGUCACAAUCCUGUAAUCCCUGGAGGACCACCGGUGGCGAAGGCGCUCUCCUAGGACGGGUCCGACGGUGAGGGACGAAAGCCAGGGGAGCAAACCGGAUUAGAUACCCGCGUAGU
This 458-nucleotide ribosomal RNA is filed under the name uncultured microorganism. RNAcentral's name for it is "bacterial SSU rRNA". It matches the Rfam family "Archaeal small subunit ribosomal RNA", at positions 330 to 745 of the family's 1478-position model. The record is from RNAcentral.